RNAcentral lists this ribosomal RNA (253 nucleotides) under uncultured bacterium. Its description in RNAcentral is "partial 16S ribosomal RNA". It matches the Rfam family "Bacterial small subunit ribosomal RNA", at positions 524 to 776 of the family's 1533-position model. The record is from RNAcentral.
GACAGAGGUCCCGAGCGUUAGGCGGAAUCACUGGGCUUAAAGCGUGUGUAGGCGGACUUCUAAGUACCUUGUGAAAUCCCACGGCUUAACCGUGGAACUGCUUGGUAUACUGGUUGUCUUGGGCCAUCUAGGGGCUACUGAAACAAACGGUGGAGCGGUGAAAUGCGUAGAUAUCGUUUGGAACGCCAAUGGUGAAAACAAGUAGCUGGGGAUGUGCCGACGCUGAGACACGAAAGCCAGGGGAGCGAACGGG